GAUUAGCGACUUGUGCAUCAAGUGAUGGACUUGCGAAGAGCAUUUGGUGGUCUGUCAGUACCGGAUUAGGUUUGAGGGGACAAAUUGUUUAGCUCAGUUGGCAUUGUCAGUUGGAUCUUUUGGUCAGGUGGAAAAUGAGGUCUUGGACCUAGGACUAUAGAUUGUCGCAUGUGACUUUCCGUUAAUGGAGGUUUGACUUUGGCUGUUUGUGUGAUAACUGGUGGGAGACUGUGGUCUUCGAGGUGAGUGUUAUUGACUCGUGUUUCUUCAGCGUGAGCUAGCGACGUAGUCGAGUCGGUUAUGGCUACACGGACCAAGAUAGAGUGGAUUUAGUGUUUCUGGGUGAUGAACUGUUAUCUCAGAAUUUGCAAAUUAGGAUCGAAUAAUCCUAGUCGCGGUUUUGUUUUUGUCCGCAGGUUAUAGGAUGGUGUUGAUCCCGAUGAGUUUUGGUCUGUGGUUUUUGGG
This 465-nucleotide long non-coding RNA is filed under the name Ananas comosus (pineapple). RNAcentral's name for it is "long non-coding RNA (ACOM_LNC034212)". The record is from RNAcentral. Lineage: Eukaryota; Viridiplantae; Streptophyta; Magnoliopsida; Poales; Bromeliaceae.